GGGUUGUGAGGUUAAGCGACUAAGCGUACACGGUGGAUGCCCUGGCAGUCAGAGGCGAUGAAGGACGUGCUAAUCUGCGAAAAGCGCCGGCGAGGUGAUAUGAACCUUUGACCCGGCGAUGUCCGAAUGGGGAAACCCAGUGUGUUCCGACACACUAUCGUUAACUGAAUACAUAGGUUAACGAGGCGAACCGGGGGAACUGAAACAUCUAAGUACCCCGAGGAAAAGAAAUCAACCGAGAUUCCCCCAGUAGCGGCGAGCGAACGGGGAGCAGCCCAGAGUCUGAAUCAGCUUGUGUGUUAGUGGAAGCGUCUGGAAAGUCGCAGGGUACAGGGUGAUACUCCCGUACACGAAAACACAC
Molecule: ribosomal RNA, 361 nt
Filed under: Citrobacter werkmanii
Lineage: Bacteria; Pseudomonadati; Pseudomonadota; Gammaproteobacteria; Enterobacterales; Enterobacteriaceae
Description: partial 23S ribosomal RNA
Rfam family: Bacterial large subunit ribosomal RNA
Source: RNAcentral